GUUAUAUGGUCAAGUGAAGAAGCGCAUACGGUGGAUGCCUUGGCAGUCAGAGGCGAUGAAAGACGUGGUAGCCUGCGAAAAGCUUCGGGGAGUCGGCAAACAGACUUUGAUCCGGAGAUGUCUGAAUGGGGGAACCCAGCCAUCAUAAGAUGGUUAUCUUGUACUGAAUACAUAGGUGCAAGAGGCGAACCAGGGGAACUGAAACAUCUAAGUACCCUGAGGAAAAGAAAUCAACCGAGAUUCCCUUAGUAGUGGCGAGCGAACGGGGACUAGCCCUUAAGUGGCUUUGAGAUUAGCGGAACGCUCUGGAAAGUGCGGCCAUAGUGGGUGAUAGCCCUGUACGCGAAAAUCUCUUAGUCAUGAAAUCGAGUAGGACGGAGCACGAGAAACUUUGUCUGAAUAUGGGGGGACCAUCCUCCAAGGCUAAAUACUACUGACUGACCGAUAGUGAACUAGUACCGUGAGGGAAAGGCGAAAAGAACCCCGGAGAGGGGAGUGAAAUAGAUCCUGAAACCGUAUGCGUACAAGCAGUGGGAGCCUACUUUGUUAGGUGACUGCGUACCUUUUGUAUAAUGGGUCAGCGACUUAUUUUCAGUGGCGAGCUUAACCGAAUAGGGGAGGCGUAGCGAAAGCGAGUCUUAAUAGGGCGUCUAGUCGCUGGGAAUAGACCCGAAACCGGGCGAUCUAUCCAUGGGCAGGUUGAAGGUUGGGUAACACUAACUGGAGGACCGAACCGACUACCGUUGAAAAGUUAGCGGAUGACCUGUGGAUCGGAGUGAAAGGCUAAUCAAGCUCGGAGAUAGCUGGUUCUCCUCGAAAGCUAUUUAGGUAGCGCCUCAUGUAUCACUGUAGGGGGUAGAGCACUGUUUCGGCUAGGGGGUCAUCCCGACUUACCAAACCGAUGCAAACUCCGAAUACCUACAAGUGCCGAGCAUGGGAGACACACGGCGGGUGCUAACGUCCGUCGUGAAAAGGGAAACAACCCAGACCGUCAGCUAAGGUCCCAAAGUUAUGGUUAAGUGGGAAACGAUGUGGGAAGGCUUAGACAGCUAGGAGGUUGGCUUAGAAGCAGCCACCCUUUAAAGAAAGCGUAAUAGCUCACUAGUCGAGUCGGCCUGCGCGGAAGAUGUAACGGGGCUCAAACCAUACACCGAAGCUACGGGUAUCACGUAAGUGAUGCGGUAGAGGAGCGUUCUGUAAGCCUGUGAAGGUGAGUUGAGAAGCUUGCUGGAGGUAUCAGAAGUGCGAAUGCUGACAUGAGUAACGACAAUGGGUGUGAAAAACACCCACGCCGAAAGACCAAGGUUUCCUGCGCAACGUUAAUCGACGCAGGGUUAGUCGGUCCCUAAGGCGAGGCUGAAAAGCGUAGUCGAUGGAAAACAGGUUAAUAUUCCUGUACUUCUGGUUAUUGCGAUGGAGGGACGGAGAAGGCUAGGCCAGCUUGGCGUUGGUUGUCCAAGUUUAAGGUGGUAGGCUGGAAUCUUAGGUAAAUCCGGGAUUCUAAGGCCGAGAGCUGAUGACGAGCUAACUUUUAGUUAGCGAAGUGGUUGAUGCCAUGCUUCCAAGAAAAGCUUCUAAGCUUCAGGUAACCAGGAACCGUACCCCAAACCGACACAGGUGGUUGGGUAGAGAAUACCAAGGCGCUUGAGAGAACUCGGGUGAAGGAACUAGGCAAAAUGGCACCGUAACUUCGGGAGAAGGUGCGCCGGUGAGGGUGAAGGACUUGCUCCGUAAGCUCAUGCCGGUCGAAGAUACCAGGCCGCUGCGACUGUUUAUUAAAAACACAGCACUCUGCAAACACGAAAGUGGACGUAUAGGGUGUGACGCCUGCCCGGUGCCGGAAGGUUAAUUGAUGGGGUUAGCUAACGCGAAGCUCUUGAUCGAAGCCCCGGUAAACGGCGGCCGUAACUAUAACGGUCCUAAGGUAGCGAAAUUCCUUGUCGGGUAAGUUCCGACCUGCACGAAUGGCGUAACGAUGGCGGCGCUGUCUCCACCCGAGACUCAGUGAAAUUGAAAUCGCUGUGAAGAUGCAGUGUAUCCGCGGCUAGACGGAAAGACCCCGUGAACCUUUACUAUAGCUUUGCACUGGACUUUGAAUUUGCUUGUGUAGGAUAGGUGGGAGGCUUUGAAGCGUGGACGCCAGUCUGCGUGGAGCCAUCCUUGAAAUACCACCCUGGCAACUUUGAGGUUCUAACUCAGGUCCGUUAUCCGGAUCGAGGACAGUGUAUGGUGGGUAGUUUGACUGGGGCGGUCUCCUCCUAAAGAGUAACGGAGGAGUACGAAGGUGCGCUCAGACCGGUCGGAAAUCGGUCGUAGAGUAUAAAGGCAAAAGCGCGCUUGACUGCGAGACAGACACGUCGAGCAGGUACGAAAGUAGGUCUUAGUGAUCCGGUGGUUCUGUAUGGAAGGGCCAUCGCUCAACGGAUAAAAGGUACUCCGGGGAUAACAGGCUGAUACCGCCCAAGAGUUCAUAUCGACGGCGGUGUUUGGCACCUCGAUGUCGGCUCAUCACAUCCUGGGGCUGAAGCCGGUCCCAAGGGUAUGGCUGUUCGCCAUUUAAAGUGGUACGCGAGCUGGGUUUAGAACGUCGUGAGACAGUUCGGUCCCUAUCUGCCGUGGACGUUUGAGAUUUGAGAGGGGCUGCUCCUAGUACGAGAGGACCGGAGUGGACGAACCUCUGGUGUUCCGGUUGUCACGCCAGUGGCAUUGCCGGGUAGCUAUGUUCGGAAUAGAUAACCGCUGAAAGCAUCUAAGCGGGAAACUAGCCUCAAGAUGAGAUCUCACUGGAACCUUGAGUUCCCUGAAGGGCCGUCGAAGACUACGACGUUGAUAGGUUGGGUGUGUAAGCGCUGUGAGGCGUUGAGCUAACCAAUACUAAUUGCCCGUGAGGCUUGACCAUAUAACACCCAAGCAAUU
This 2916-nucleotide ribosomal RNA is filed under the name Pseudomonas reactans. RNAcentral describes it as "23S ribosomal RNA". It matches the Rfam family "Bacterial large subunit ribosomal RNA". Lineage: Bacteria; Pseudomonadati; Pseudomonadota; Gammaproteobacteria; Pseudomonadales; Pseudomonadaceae. The record is from RNAcentral.